GCCAGAGAGGUCACGCCACAUGUGUAUAGUACAAUUUCACAUGUGACAAUGCCAAUUGAAAUUUACAUAAACUUAAAACAUUAGCUUAAGAGUUGAAGACAUGUCCCAUGUUCACUUUGGCUUAUCUCUUCAAUAUCUCCUUGAUUUUGAUUUUGCAAUUGCUUGGUUGCUAGGAGACACUCGCAGACAGCCACAUGAACUCCCAAUGACCCAUAUGUUCCUUUAGGGUCCAGAUAAAGAUUAGGAGUAAUAAAAACCCACAUUCCUCUUUCUACAUGUACAAGUCAAUUCUGUUUGUGCUGGUUUUAUUUACUUUGUAAGUGUGACAAAAAUAACCACAAGAGACUGUGUUAACGCCUACAAAGAUAAAACAAGAAACGAGUUUAUAUAUAAUAUAUCCAUAGGAGACUAUUUAAACGUUCAUCGAGUUAUUUGCGUGUUUUUCUAAAAAAAUAUAUCACGCAAAAGAUUAGUUUUCUCAACAUAUCAAUUAUAUAUAUACAAGUUUUGAAGAUUUAUUUAGCGUGUGGGGGGGUAUAUUCUUGAUUUACUUCAACUCUCAAUGAAUACUAAAAGGGACAUACUGGCUCCGAGUUCAUUUGACUACUUUGUUCGAAAACUUUUAUUGAUAUCAAUAAGUUUCGUACGUUUUCAGGAAAUUGAGAUCUGGUGAUGCCUGAGAGUCCAGGGAUAGAGAUCAUUAUAUGUUUUGAGACUUUCCAUAUAUAUACGAAAACAAAUAGCUAAAAGACUUAUUUGAUUCCGAAGCAGUUAAAAUAUUGUCUGAUUGAUGAAAUUGACCAAUAAAGAUAAAUAAGAUUCUCUUUCUUACGAUGGGAACUAAGAAGAUCGUCCUGAAAACGGAUGCGACGGGAAGAAGUGGCAUUUGUAAGUGUUGCUGACUUCAGUAAAUAAAAAACAGAACCACACCGAUUGCAUCUGAAAAAUCUUAGAAGCGUCGUGCAUUAUUGAUAAAUAUAAAAUUAUACUAAACGAGAUACAUACCAAAACAUGAAUAUAUGAUUGAGAAUAGAAGAUACAAAACUAGGCCUUCUCAUGUGGUAGACCUUACUUCAGUGAGACUGUGUUUAGGAGAAAGCAUGUACCUCUAUUAAUGACACAUAUAUUAGUAUAUAUUGCAAAUGGUUUUUCCUAAAGUAUAACACAUAACACAUACAAUAUAAACAAUUGUUUUCUGGCCACGCAAUUAAACCUAAUAAAUGCUAAGUGGGAGGAAUCCCCAUCAGCAAGAAAACUCAUUAUUAUUGAAAAUUAAAAUUUUCAUAAGAUAUGUUUGCCAAAAACAGAUACGAAGGACUACGUCCAGUAAUGCUAAAUUUGUUAGUGUAGCCAAAUGAAAUGCGU
Molecule: long non-coding RNA, 1365 nt
Filed under: Brassica napus (rape)
Lineage: Eukaryota; Viridiplantae; Streptophyta; Magnoliopsida; Brassicales; Brassicaceae
Description: long non-coding RNA (BNAP_LNC020517)
Source: RNAcentral